UGGGGAAUAUUGCACAAUGGGCGCAAGCCUGAUGCAGCCAUGCCGCGUGUAUGAAGAAGGCCUUCGGGUUGUAAAGUACUUUCAGCGGGGAGGAAGGGAGUAAAGUUAAUACCUUUGCUCAUUGACGUUACCCGCAGAAGAAGCACCGGCUAACUCCGUGCCAGCAGCCGCGGUAAUACGGAGGGUGCAAGCGUUAAUCGGAAUUACUGGGCGUAAAGCGCACGCAGGCGGUUUGUUAAGUCAGAUGUGAAAUCCCCGGGCUCAACCUGGGAACUGCAUCUGAUACUGGCAAGCUUGAGUCUCGUAGAGGGGGGUAGAAUUCCAGGUGUAGCGGUGAAAUGCGUAGAGAUCUGGAGGAAUACCGGUGGCGAAGGCGGCCCCCUGGACGAAGACUGACGCUCAGGUGGGAAAGCGUGGGGAGCAAACAGG
This 429-nucleotide ribosomal RNA is filed under the name Chloroflexota bacterium. RNAcentral's name for it is "Chloroflexi bacterium partial 16S ribosomal RNA". It matches the Rfam family "Bacterial small subunit ribosomal RNA", at positions 355 to 776 of the family's 1533-position model. Lineage: Bacteria; Bacillati; Chloroflexota. The record is from RNAcentral.